UCGCCUCGUGGUAAUAGGUGAGGGAUGAAAUCGAACAUCUUUUAGACGACAAUGGAGAUAUGGCCCAACUACACCUAACUCGGAACUGGAUACAGACUCAACAAUGGAGAUAUGCAUCAAAUGACAUUGUUCCUGCUUCACCUCAUCUCUGCCGACCCAGAAGUGGCAACAAUUAUGAGGAUGUACAGGACCUAGAAAUCUUGCUUGAAGACUACUUCAUGCUAUUUGAAAGCACCCGCAAUAAAAUUCUCUCUGUGAGUAUCGGCACUUUUUAUCAUUCUUAAUCAUGGGUGUGCUAGUUUUAGUUUUGGUUUCUAUCUGGUAAUGAGGUGUUUCCCUAAAAAAAACUGUAUGAUGUAGAGACCGGAUCAAUAUCCCGGGUCGGGUCUAUCCAAUCUACGAUUAUUACUUUUGUUGCUUUCGCCAGCAAUAUCAUUCGACUCUUUUUCAUUGCUAAAUCCCCUGUUGAUGAAGUUGGAAAGUCUAGUAUUUUUGUUGAUUCGAAAUAAUAUUGAUAAUCUCUUGUUCUCCUGUAGUUACGAGAACAUAUCGGUGACACAGAAGAUUAUGUAACUAUCCAACUUAACAGUCGACGCAACGAAAUGAUGCAGCUGAAGUUGAUAUUUCUGAUUGCCUCCUUUGCCAUUGCAGUAGAAACUGGUAUAGCUGGGAUGUAUGGCAUGAAUAUUAAAAUCAAGCUUUACGACACCAAAGGGGUAUUCUGGCAAGUUGUUGGGCUUAUGACGGUUGCGUGUCUGCUGCUAUUCUUUGUAGUUUUGGGAUACGCCCGUUGGAAGAGACUUCUUGGGUCUUAGUAAGAGGUUGACAGCAACAAUUUAAUUUGGAUUGAUGAAUCUGUGUUUUGAGUUGUUAUAUACACUUAAGUUGAGCAAUAUAUGUCCAUAGUUUGUGUGCAAAAUGCGUAUGUACUGGUGCAAAGGCAGCCACCAGGUAAGGCUGACAGCAACUUCAGAGCUUUUUUCUUUUUUCCUUUUUUUCUUUUAGGAAAACAACUUAAGAGCUUUGAUCAGUGCUUGGGUUGGAUUUUUUCUUGUACUCUUCGUGUAUGAUAUGAUCGAUCUCUUAUCGCACUGUUGCAUAGCAAACAACAUAAGCAAGCCUCAAUGGAGGAUGACAGCAAGCUUCCCUAAUCGUUGCUGGAAUAAACGAAAUUACCUAAGACUCAUAAAUAAAAUAACACAACAAAUAAUAAAUAAAUAAAUACUAUAGAACGAAUGAAAGAAAAAAAAAACUCGAAUUCAAUAGCUGCAAAUUUUCGUCCAGCCUCCAAAGUGGCGUGUAUAUAUAUGCCUAUGGAAUUGUAUAAGUUACUUCCUUAUAUAAUACUCCCUCCGUCCACUAAUUCAAGGCCUUCUUUCCUUUUUGGGACGUCCACCAACUCAAGGUCUAUCCAUUUUUAGUAAGUUUUUAUUUAUAUUUAAUUGGUGGGUCCUAAAACAAUACACUUUUUUCUCCACUCAACUAAUAAACAAUACAUUAAUUGUGGGUCCCUUUCUCCACUCAACUAAUAAAAAUACAUUUUUUCUUAAAACCCGUGUUUUGCUCCUUAGGUCAUGAAUUAGUGGACGGAGGGAGUAUAUAAUAUAAUACUAAUAAUAUUAAAACCUACUUCUACAUCUACAAGGAAAUAAAGUGGCGUCCAAGUUUAGGCAAAUAAGGCCCAAAACAAAAUAAACUAAUCCACCAAAAGUCAAAGUAAAACAAAUAACUCCAGCACAUAAAACAUCUCCCCAAGCGAGUCUUCAAUCCAUGCAGUCAGACCACAAUUCAGGUGGUAUGGGCAUCCCGUCCUGUUGUAUUAGGAUUAUAAUAUAAUAUAAUUGUGUUAUAAUUUUGCAACACUAUUUUUAAUGUGUUGUAUAAUUGUAGCAUUUCACUUAAGUGUCACAAAUAAACUGUCGUAAAUUAGAGACACAAGAAAAAGUGAUUGUGAUAUAAUAUAUAGAUGACACACAAUUGUCGUAUUGUCGUAUAUUUACAACAUUAAAUACGACACUAUUUUAAAUUAGUCGUAUAAUCAUGAUUAUGUCAUUUUAAUGAGGUGUCACAAAUAAUUAUCGCAAUUCAGAGAUAGAAAAAAUAUGUGUCGCAUUUGUGUUUAAAAAAUACGACACAAUAUUUAAAUGAAACACAAUUGUCGCAGAUAUAUAACAUGAAACUAGCGGAUAACCUGUCGAAAUUCGACGGGCAUCCUUUAAUGUAAUAAUUUUAAAUUUUAAUAUACUAAUAAAUUUAUAAACAAUAUAUUAUAAAAUGAUAAUAUUAACAAAUAUAAUUAGAAUAAGUGCUAUGAUAAAUUCGUGGGAUUACACGCUAAUUUUUAUAGGAAUCAACAACCCACAUUUAAUAUGCAAGUUUUGAACCCUCAAUUGGAUUAAAUAUCCUUAAAUUAAAAGUCCAAACCAAUCAGAGAAAUUUGGUAUGCUGAUAGGACCCCGUAACUAACUAUGAGGUAAAUUUGAUACGCUGAUAGGACCCGUAACUAACUGAAGAUACAAUUGCAUGAAACAGAAUAUAUGGGGAGUCCUUUCCCACGCUGAUAUAUAGUUCCUAUAAAACACCUAUUAAAUAGAAGAUAUAUGGGCAGGCCUUUACCACCCUGAUAGGACCUAUAAAACAGCGUUGAUACAGAAGAUAUAUGGGCAGACCUCGGAAGAAGAUGGUUAUGUCGAUGGAGCUGGCGAGCACUACAAGCAAGGCAUGUGGGAAGAAACGGAAGAAGAUGGUCUGGACUAUGUUGCCUCCUUCUCGUCCUCCUCGUCCGGCGAUGGAGCAGGCGAGCACUACAAGCAAGGCAUGUGGGAAGAAGAAGUGGGUCAACAAGCAUCUUUGGAUGCGGAUAGAUAGCCUAGGGCAAUCAGAAACUAUCGAGUGUGAUAAGAGCGUCAUCAUCAAGCGCUUCUCCAUUCCCGCCAGGGAUUUAGGGCUUUUGGGGCCAAUCUUCUAUCAUCCUUCCGGCAUUAUUGGUAUAACUUUUGGCAAAAUUUUCUCCUUUUUAGUUGGUUUUAUGAGGCCAACUCUUAGUGCUUUUUGCGUGGGUGUUGGGCGAUGUGUGUUUAGUUGUGCAAUCUUGGUCUGCAUGUGUUGGUUUUGAUGUUACAAAAGUGAAGUCAAUGACAUGAAUUCCACCUCUCACUGAUUUCUGUUUGCUGGUUAUGGGUAGUGAUAAUUCAUGCUACAAAAUUUGACCAAGUGGUUGAUUGUCACUACUUAUACAAGUCGUUUCCUUUCCCUUGUAUGUAGCUAGGGAAAAAUGUAUGAUCCUUAGUUUGGAAUUUAUAAGAGCAUUAGUCUCAGCAGAAGAAGUAAUGUUACUCAAUCCUCUUCAACAAGAGGUUCUGGUAUUUGUGGAUCAGCUAACGCGGCAUUUAUCUUCUAAGAAUCGACAACAUCCAGAAGCUUCUGAAGAUGAACUACUACUGCCUUUUGAGUUCCAGGUGUUGGAAAUAGCAUUAAAGGUUGCAUACAGAUAUCUAGAAUCUAGUGUCUCUCAAGUUGAGAGGGAUGUUUACCUUGCUUUAGAUGAAGUAACCAUAAGUGUUAGCACCAAGAAUCUUGAGUAUAUACGGACUUUCAAAAGCAAUCUCACUCGUUUGCUUGCACGGGUGCAUAAGGUAACUCAAAUAAUUUCUCUCUUGUUAUUUUUUGUAGACAGAUCGUCAUUUAUAAUUAUAUUAACCCUUCGAUCGAGACGAUGCAGCUUAUGCAUGUGGUGAAUUAAUGUUCUUUCAUAUCAGUAAUAGUUUUUGCAUUUUAUCCAUCAUGAGAAUGAGAGGUUCUAGUGCUAGGCAAAUAUUAUGUGGCAAUUGUCAAACAUCAUGUGGUUUGCUUGUCAGUUAUCUUGUUUAAGGUUUGUUAACGAUGGAUCCUUGCUCUAAAUCUAUCUCGCCUCGCGGUAAUAGGUGAGGGAUGAAAUCGAACAUCUUUUAGACGACAAUGGAGAUAUGGCCCAACUACACCUAACUCGGAACUGGAUACAGACUCAACAAUGGAGAUAUGCAUCAAAUGACAUUGUUCCUGCUCCACCUCAUCUCUGCCGACCCAGAAGUGGCAACAAUUAUGAGGAUGUACAGGACCUAGAAAUCUUGCUUGAAGACUACUUCAUGCUAUUUGAAAGCACCCGCAGUAAAAUUCUCUCUGUGAGUAUCGGCAC
Molecule: long non-coding RNA, 4174 nt
Filed under: Salvia miltiorrhiza (redroot sage)
Lineage: Eukaryota; Viridiplantae; Streptophyta; Magnoliopsida; Lamiales; Lamiaceae
Description: long non-coding RNA (SMIL_LNC001027)
Source: RNAcentral